This 578-nucleotide ribosomal RNA is filed under the name uncultured bacterium. RNAcentral describes it as "bacterial SSU rRNA". It matches the Rfam family "Bacterial small subunit ribosomal RNA", at positions 338 to 916 of the family's 1533-position model. The record is from RNAcentral.
CCUACGGGAGGCAGCAGUGAGGAAUAUUGGACAAUGGGCGCAAGCCUGAUCCAGCCAUGCCGCGUGCAGGAAGAAGCAUCUAUGGUGUGUAAACUGCUUUUGUACGGGAAGAAACACUCCUUCGUGAAGGAGCUUGACGGUACCGUAAGAAUAAGGAUCGGCUAACUCCGUGCCAGCAGCCGCGGUAAUACGGAGGAUCCAAGCGUUAUCCGGAAUCAUUGGGUUUAAAGGGUCCGUAGGCGGUUUAAUAAGUCAGUGGUGAAAUCUGGUCGCUUAACGAUCAAACGGCCAUUGAUACUGUUAGACUUGAAUUAUUUGGAAGUAACUAGAAUAUGUAGUGUAGCGGUGAAAUGCUUAGAUAUUACAUGGAAUACCAAUUGCGAAGGCAGGUUACUACAAAUGGAUUGACGCUGAUGGACGAAAGCGUGGGGAGCGAACAGGAUUAGAUACCCUGGUAGUCCACGCCGUAAACGAUGGAUACUAGCUGUUGGGAGUAAUCUCAGUGGCUAAGCGAAAGUGAUAAGUAUCCCACCUGGGGAGUACGAACGCAAGUUUGAAACUUCAAAGGAAAUUGACGG